RNAcentral lists this transfer RNA (82 nucleotides) under Acidobacteriota bacterium. RNAcentral describes it as "Acidobacteria bacterium tRNA-Leu". It matches the Rfam family "tRNA". From Rfam's summary of the family: Transfer RNA (tRNA) molecules are approximately 80 nucleotides in length. Their secondary structure includes four short double-helical elements and three loops (D, anti-codon, and T loops). RNAcentral also lists the same sequence under 1 other name. The record is from RNAcentral. Lineage: Bacteria; Pseudomonadati; Acidobacteriota.
GCGAAAGUGGCGGAAUUGGCAGACGCGCUAGACUUAGGAUCUAGUGGGAAACCCCGUGAGGGUUCGAGUCCCUCCUUUCGCA